Etheostoma spectabile (orangethroat darter) is the source of this 1911-nucleotide RNA transcript. It is a transcript of the gene named SAMM50 sorting and assembly machinery component, with no coding region annotated. The transcript has 15 exons. Lineage: Eukaryota; Metazoa; Chordata; Actinopteri; Perciformes; Percidae. The record is from RefSeq and is a predicted model, not a curated record.
AGAAGGCGUGGUCAGUAAGUGACAUGGCCGCCUCCUUAUACGGAGCCUCGUCGCCUUAUUCUCCUGCUACUUGUAGAUUAAAUUAGACUUUUACCACGCAAAUUUGAUUUCAUAUUUCCUGGGACAGCGCCCUGUAGAGCUCAGCAUGGGCACCGUCCACGCCAGGAGCCUGGACCCUCUGCCCAUGCAAGGGCCAGAGCUGGGAGUUCAACCUGACGAUAUCGAGGCUCCUGGGAUUGAGCACGAACCAAAGCAAGAAGUUCUUGAAAACAAGGAUGUUGUAGUUCAACGAGUGCACAUAGAUGGGCUUGGAAGAACCAAGGAGGACCUGUUGACUUAUGAAAUCUCAGAAGUUUUCCGGGCAAAGAACUUGAUUGAUGUGAUGCGAAAGUCCCAUGAAGCCCGACGAAAGCUGCUCCGUCUCGGUAUUUUCAGAAAAGUUGAAGUUGUUAUUGACACGUCACGAGGUGAGGAUGCUCUUCCUAACGGCCUUGAUGUGACAUUUGAAGUCACCGAGCUGAGACGGAUGACAGGCAGCUACAACACCAUGGUUGGAAACAACGAAGGAAGCAUGGUACUAGGCCUGAAGUUACCCAAUGUAUUAGGUCGUGCAGAGAAAAUGACCUUUCAGUUCUCCUACGGAACCAAAGAGACAUCCUACGGCCUGUCCUUCUUCAAACCCCAACCAGGAAACUUUGAACGCAACAUCUCACUCAAUGUGUACAAAGUAACAGGUCAGUUUCCAUGGAGUUCACUGAGGGAGACGGAUCGAGGCAUCUCUGGAGAACUGAGCUUCCCUGUGUGGAACACCAACCAAACCCUGAAGUGGGAGGGAGUGUGGCGAGAGCUGGGCUGUUUGGCUCGCACUGCCUCAUUUGCCGUCCGGGAGGAGAGUGGCCAUUCCCUAAAGUCCUCACUUUCGCAUUCUAUGGUCAUCGACACCAGAAACUCCUCCAUCCUUCCCAGGAAAGGUGGCCUGUUGAAGAUCCAUCAGGAACUUGCUGGUUACACUGGGGGAGACGCCAGUUUCCUGAAGGAGGACUUUGAGAUCCAGCUCAACAAAACCCUCUUCUGGGACUCGGUCCUUUCUGCCUCAUUGUGGGGGGGUUUGCUCCUGCCCAUUGGUGACAAGCCAACAAGCAUAGCAGACAGGUUCUAUCUUGGUGGCCCCACCAGUAUCAGGGGAUUCAGUAUGUACAGUUUGGGCCCACAGAGUGAAGCUGGAAUUACUGAUAUGGCAGGUGACUACCUGGGAGGAGAGGGCUACUGGGCUGGAGGCCUCCACCUUUACACCCCUCUACCCUUCAGACCAGGCAAGGGGGGCUUUGGUGACCUCUUCAGAACACACUUCUUCCUCAAUGCCGGAAACCUUUGUAACCUUAACUAUGGUGAGGGGCCAAAAGCACAUUUGAAGAAACUGGCAGAAUGCAUCCGUUGGUCAUAUGGACUGGGCAUUGUGCUGCGUUUGGGAAACAUUGCCAGACUGGAGCUGAAUUACUGCAUUCCCAUGGGAGUCCAGAGUGGAGACAGGUAGGGCUGAUAAGGGUAGCUAGUUUUAGGUAAGAUUUGGAAUUACACCUAUUUAAUUUACUUUAAAGACAUGUAAGGCACACUAGGUAAACUUUAUGUCCAAUAGCUCUCCCUGCAAACAGAAUAUAAAUGAUUUAGUUAGAAAAGACCAGCAUAGACCAAAAAACACAGGUUGUACAGGUGGGUGACUUCAACCCAUGCAUUGCAAAUGUCACAUGUCUGUUUACAUGUGUGAAAGUUCUGUAUGUAUGCGCAUGUUGUUUAGUAAAUAUUGAGCAAAUCUUUUCUGUACAAUCAUGUAGUUAAACACUUUUAAGAGACACAUGUCCCAUGCAUAGUGCCCUUAACAUGCACUGGAAAUAAACUGAUUCUUGGUUUGCC